RNAcentral lists this small RNA (28 nucleotides) under Bombyx mori (domestic silkworm). RNAcentral's name for it is "ovarian small RNA-9587". Lineage: Eukaryota; Metazoa; Arthropoda; Insecta; Lepidoptera; Bombycidae. The record is from RNAcentral.
UUCCGAGUCGUGUAAUAAUGUUUUCUGC